UGUAGGAUAGGUGGGAGGCUUUGAAGUGUGGACGCCAGUCUGCAUGGAGCCGACCUUGAAAUACCACCCUUUAAUGUUUGAUGUUCUAACGUUGGCCCCUAAUCGGGGUUGCGGACAGUGUCUGGUGGGUAGUUUGACUGGGGCGGUCUCCUCCUAAAGAGUAACGGAGGAGCACGAAGGUUGGCUAAUCCUGGUCGGACAUCAGGAGGUUAGUGCAAUGGCAUAAGCCAGCUUGACUGCGAGCGUGACGGCGCGAGCAGGUGCGAAAGCAGGUCAUAGUGAUCCGGUGGUUCUGAAUGGAAGGGCCAUCGCUCAACGGAUAAAAGGUACUCCGGGGAUAACAGGCUGAUACCGCCCAAGAGUUCAUAUCGACGGCGGUGUUUGGCACCUCGAUGUCGGCUCAUCACAUCCUGGGGCUGAAGUAGGUCCCAAGGGUAUGGCUGUUCGCCAUUUAAAGUGGUACGCGAGCUGGGUUUAGAACGUCGUGAGACAGUUCGGUCCCUAUCUGCCGUGGGCGCUGGAGAACUGAGGGGGGCUGCUCCUAGUACGAGAGGACCGGAGUGGACGCAUCACUGGUGUUCGGGUUGUCAUGCCAAUGGCACUGCCCGGUAGCUAAAUGCGGAAGAGAUAAGUGCUGAAAGCAUCUAAGCACGAAACUUGCCCCG
RNAcentral lists this ribosomal RNA (665 nucleotides) under Escherichia coli. RNAcentral's name for it is "partial 23S ribosomal RNA". It matches the Rfam family "Bacterial large subunit ribosomal RNA", at positions 2137 to 2801 of the family's 2925-position model. Lineage: Bacteria; Pseudomonadati; Pseudomonadota; Gammaproteobacteria; Enterobacterales; Enterobacteriaceae. The record is from RNAcentral.